GGCGUGCCUAAUACAUGCAAGUCGAUCGAGGAAGGGACUAGCUUGCUAGGACUGGAGAAGAGGCGAACGGGUGAGUAAUACAUAAGCAACCUACCCACGAAGACUGGGAUAACCCCUGGAAACGGGGACUAAGACCGGAUAGGUAAUGAGAUCGCAUGAUCAAAUUAUUAAAGGAGAAAGACACUGGUGGAUGGGCUUAUGGCGCAUUAGUUAGAUGGUGAGGUAACGGCCCACCAUGACGAUGAUGCGUAGCCGGCCUGAGAGGGUGAACGGCCACAUUGGGACUGAGACACGGCCCAGACUCCUACGGGAGGCAGCGGUAGGGAAUUUUCGGCAAUGGGGGAAACCCUGACCGAGCGACGCCGCGUGAGUGAAGAAGGCCUUCGGGUUGUAAAACUCUGUUGUACAGGAAGAAUGGUGCAGAGAGGAUCUGCAAAUGACGGUACUGUACGAGGAAGCCACGGCUAACUACGUGCCAGCAGCCGCGGUAAUACGUAGGUGGCGAGCGUUAUCCGGAAUUAUUGGGCGUAAAGGGUGCGCAGGCGGUCAAAUAAGUUUAAGGUGAAAGCGUGAAGCUCAACUUCAUCGAGCCUUAGAUACUGUUUGACUAGAGUACUGGAGAGGGUAGUGGAAUUCCAUGUGUAGCGGUAAAAUGCGUAGAUAUAUGGAGGAACACCAGAGGCGAAGGCGGCUACCUAGACAGAGACGGACGCUGAGGCACGAAAGCGUGGGGAGCAAUAGGAUUAGAUACCCUAGUAGUCNCGCUGUAACGAUGAUGCCAACCUCAGACGAUUGGGUUGAGUUACGCAUAGC
This 813-nucleotide ribosomal RNA is filed under the name uncultured rumen bacterium. Its description in RNAcentral is "bacterial SSU rRNA". It matches the Rfam family "Bacterial small subunit ribosomal RNA", at positions 41 to 865 of the family's 1533-position model. The record is from RNAcentral.